GUUUAAUGAAUCAUUUUCAUAACUUUAAAUUUAAAUAUAAAUUUGAAAAUUAUACACACAAGUUUUGCAAAUAACAAAGUUUUUUGCAGCCAUUUACCUUUUUUUUUAAUAACCAUUAACCUAUUUACAGAACAAUCAGCUGUUCUUCAAUAAGAUGCCACAAAUUAUUUGUGCCACUCCAAAAACAUCAUUUGUGUCCAGUAUAAAGGAAACAUCCCAGCCUGAUACCUGCAGGUCUGACAGCAGCUCAUAAGCAGAGAGGUCUCGCUGCUGUCCUUAGACAGUAAACAUGAAACUAUUGAGGAACAAACAGGCGUAUAUCUUGUUUAUCAUGACUCUGGUUUUACGUUUCCUAUCAACACAAUUUAUAAACUGGUAUAUGUCACCGUGUUGCUUUGUCUUUAAGUGCUCAUGUGAUUGGCCACGACUACUUUAUUCUUCCUCAGUCAAACAGCAGCACUCAUGCGAUUGUUUUGCCCCCUGAGCUCCAGCUGUUGUGCCAAAAAGUGAUCGUCUGUCUGCGGGAGCGCGCAGCUGCUUAAAGCUGUAGCGCCCAGAUUACUUACAGCUACUUCCUGCAGCUGGUAUAAGAUGCUGUGAGCUGAACACAGCUUCAACCGUCUGUUUGUUGAAACAUAGUAACGGACCACAUUUUCUUGUUAGUAACGGUAACGGUGUUGUAGCGAUAGGAAUAGUAAUUAGAUUACUCGUUACUGAAAAAGUAGCGCCGUUACUCCCAUCAGUGGUAAUGAGCAGCCUGCGGAGCUCUCCAACCACCCCGUCUUUAAAGCCCAUGAAAGGUUUUCCUUUGCAUGGUGAACUUUGGUGACAGAGUGCAGAGGAAGUGCUCUGUCUGCGUCACGUUAAAGGAUCUGACCUCCAUCACGUUCUGUGUUUCCAGCCUUUACUGGGGAAAUGUCUGUUCUUCCUGAGAACCACUGAGAAGGCCAUAACCACCGCCAACGUGCAGCAGGAAGUGAACUUUGGCGUGUUGGACUGCAGCGGCGGCGGUGGCGUCCUGAACAGUCUAGAAACUCUGCUGACUCACAUCAUGUUACCUGCUCUCAGGUCGCAGCAGGUAAAACACCUCCAUCCAUUCAGGCUUUCAC
Molecule: long non-coding RNA, 1109 nt
Organism: Oreochromis aureus
Lineage: Eukaryota; Metazoa; Chordata; Actinopteri; Cichliformes; Cichlidae
Source: Ensembl